This 494-nucleotide ribosomal RNA is filed under the name uncultured bacterium. RNAcentral describes it as "bacterial SSU rRNA". It matches the Rfam family "Bacterial small subunit ribosomal RNA", at positions 903 to 1397 of the family's 1533-position model. The record is from RNAcentral.
AAAUGAAUAGACGGGGACCCGCACAAGCAGCGGAGCAUGUGGUUUAAUUCGAAGCAACGCGAAGAACCUUACCAGGGCUUGACAUCCCUCUGACCGCUCCUUAAACGGAGCUUCUUUUCGGAGCAGAGGAGACAGGUGGUGCAUGGUUGUCGUCAGCUCGUGUCGUGAGAUGUUGGGUUAAGUCCCGCAACGAGCGCAACCCUUGUCGCUAGUUGCCAUCAGGUCGUGCUGGGCACUUUAGCGAGACCGCCGGGGAUAACUCGGAGGAAGGUGGGGACGACGUCAAAUCAUCAUGCCCCUUAUGUUCUGGGCUACACACGUGCUACAAUGGUCGGUACAGAGAGAUGCGAAGCUGUGAAGCAGAGCCAAACUCUAAAACCGUCCCCAGUUCGGAUUGCAGGCUGCAACUCGCCUGCAUGAAGUAGGAGUUGCUAGUAAUCGUGAAUCAGAACGUCACGGUGAAUGCGUUCCCGGGUCUUGUACACACCGCCCGU